Alosa sapidissima (American shad) is the source of this 326-nucleotide long non-coding RNA. RefSeq lists it as uncharacterized. NCBI's taxonomy places the organism in Eukaryota, Metazoa, Chordata, Actinopteri, Clupeiformes, Clupeidae. The transcript has 3 exons. The record is from RefSeq and is a predicted model, not a curated record.
AUGGAGGACCACCACAGGCCUGAGGUGCGGUCAGGAGGGUACAAGCUGGACCUGGAUAGCUGGUACCUCUCCCUGGCCUACGGGGACCCCUUUGCCUUGAUGAAGGUGAACACCGCUGCACCGGAGGGGUUCAGAGCCUGAGAACAUGACCGCAUCACAUCCCCCGCACACAACACUUGCCUUACCCCACACUGCAGUACUUGACCUAAUGCCACCUGGUCAAGGGUACUGCUACAGUACGUCCACUCAUCCGAGAUUUCCUGGCCACUGAGAUAGGAAGGGCGUGGAGGGGGAUGGAAAGAUGGGAGAGGGACAGGAGACCCUGG